RNAcentral lists this long non-coding RNA (227 nucleotides) under Octopus vulgaris (common octopus). Lineage: Eukaryota; Metazoa; Mollusca; Cephalopoda; Octopoda; Octopodidae. The record is from RNAcentral.
ACAGUUAUUAUUAUCACUACUGCAAGGAGGCGUGUCCUCAAAUGCGUCAUAAUUUGUGGUGGUUUCGAUUCUCAGUUAAAGCCGUUAAACUUAAUCAAUUCACGUCGCUAAUUUCUCAAGGACAUCAGGCACUGACGUUACUGGUGCCCUUGAGAAAGAAUGAACAUUCUGUUUCCUUAAAAUAUCCAAAGGUCAGAGAAGUGUAAGAAAUAAAUAUUUUAUUUGUU